UACGAAGGGGGCUAGCGUUGCUCGGAAUCACUGGGCGUAAAGCGCACGUAGGCGGAUUCUUAAGUCAGGGGUGAAAGCCCAGAGCUUAACUCUGGAAUUGCCUUUGAGACUGAGAGGCUUGAGUACGGGAGAGGUGAGUGGAAUUCCCAGUGUAGAGGUGAAAUUCGUAGAUAUUGGGAAGAACACCGGUGGCGAAGGCGGCUCACUGGCCCGUAACUGACGCUCAUGCACGACAGCGUGGGGAUCAAGCAGG
This 253-nucleotide ribosomal RNA is filed under the name uncultured bacterium. RNAcentral's name for it is "partial 16S ribosomal RNA". It matches the Rfam family "Bacterial small subunit ribosomal RNA", at positions 524 to 776 of the family's 1533-position model. The record is from RNAcentral.